AACGAACGCUGGCGGCAGGCCUAACACAUGCAAGUCGAACGCUCGUAGCAAUACGGGAGUGGCAGACGGGUGCGUAACGCGUGGGAACAUACCCUUUGGUUCGGAAUAACUCAGGGAAACUUGAGCUAAUACCGGAUACGCCCGAGAGGGGAAAGAUUUAUUGCCGAAGGAUUGGCCCGCGUCUGAUUAGCUUGUUGGUAGGGUAACGGCCUACCAAAGGCGACGAUCAGUAGCUGGUCUGAGAGGAUGAUCAGCCACACUGGGACUGAGACACGGCCCAGACUCCUACGGGAGGCAGCAGUGGGGAAUAUUGGACAAUGGGCGCAAGCCUGAUCCAGCCAUUCCGCGUGCAGGAUGAAGGCCUUCGGGUU
RNAcentral lists this ribosomal RNA (371 nucleotides) under uncultured bacterium. RNAcentral describes it as "bacterial SSU rRNA". It matches the Rfam family "Bacterial small subunit ribosomal RNA", at positions 29 to 424 of the family's 1533-position model. The record is from RNAcentral.